RNAcentral lists this ribosomal RNA (497 nucleotides) under uncultured bacterium. Its description in RNAcentral is "partial 16S ribosomal RNA". It matches the Rfam family "Bacterial small subunit ribosomal RNA", at positions 28 to 507 of the family's 1533-position model. The record is from RNAcentral.
GAUGAACGCUGGCGGCGUGCCUAAUACAUGCAAGUCGAGCGAACAGACGAGGAGCUUGCUCCUCUGACGUUAGCGGCGGACGGGUGAGUAACACGUGGAUAACCUACCUAUAAGACUGGGAUAACUUCGGGAAACCGGAGCUAAUACCGGAUAAUAUAUUGAACCGCAUGGUUCAAUAGUGAAAGACGGUUUUGCUGUCACUUAUAGAUGGAUCCGCGCCGCAUUAGCUAGUUGGUAAGGUAACGGCUUACCAAGGCAACGAUGCGUAGCCGACCUGAGAGGGUGAUCGGCCACACUGGAACGGAGACACGGUCCAGACUCCUACGGGAGGCAGCAGUAGGGAAUCUUCCGCAAUGGGCGAAAGCUUGACGGAGCAACGCCGCGUGAGUGAUGAAGGUCUUCGGAUCGUAAAACUCUGCUAUUAGGGAAGAACAAAUGUGUAAGUAACUAUGCACGUCUUGACGGUACCUAAUCAGAAAGCCACGGCUAACUACGUG